This 253-nucleotide ribosomal RNA is filed under the name uncultured bacterium. RNAcentral describes it as "partial 16S ribosomal RNA". It matches the Rfam family "Bacterial small subunit ribosomal RNA", at positions 524 to 776 of the family's 1533-position model. The record is from RNAcentral.
UACGAAGGGUGCAAGCGUUACUCGGAAUUACUGGGCGUAAAGCGUGCGUAGGUGGUGAGUUAAGUCUGAUGUGAAAUCCCCGGGCUCAACCUGGGAACUGCAUCUGUGACUGCAUAGCUAGAGUACGGUAGAGGGGGAUGGAAUUCCGCGUGUAGCAGUGAAAUGCGUAGAUAUGCGGAGGAACACCGAUGGCGAAGGCAAUCCCCUGGACCGGCAUUGACGCUGAUGAGCGAAAGCUAGGGGAGCAAACGGG